Long non-coding RNA from Musca domestica (house fly), 533 nucleotides. RefSeq lists it as uncharacterized. The transcript has 3 exons. The record is from RefSeq and is a predicted model, not a curated record. NCBI's taxonomy places the organism in Eukaryota, Metazoa, Arthropoda, Insecta, Diptera, Muscidae.
AAAAGAAUAUCCUGAAAUUAAGCAAUUAUUGCAAUGUAAUAGUCUGCAAAAUAAGGAUAGGAUAAAGGAUAACUAUUAUAGCAAAGAGUAUAGUGUCAAAUAUCCUGAGCCAAAAUGUGAAUAGACGUUUAUAUAAAGAUGAUUUGUUACAACUUUCCCGAUCAAUAAUAGAAGUAUUUCCAUCGGAAGUUAGAGAAAUCUAUUACGUACCCUUUACAAAAGGUCAUUUGGCAAAGGGUAAAUUGUUUGACGCAUACAAUAAUAAGAGAACACAAUUAAGUGCAGCAGGACUGAUAAAUAGACGUGAAAACGUGAAAAAGAAAUCAAAUCAUACGCAAUUGUCGGAAGAUCACGAAACUGGCAUAUCAGCAGAUGAAUUGAAAAUUCUUGAAACAACGAAUGUAGAUUGGAAGAAAACAAGAGAACUUUGGAUUAAAUCUCAUUCCUAUCGACAAAACGAAUUACAAAACAACGAGUUAAGUACUAUUGACUAUAUACAAAAAUACAACAUUCAUCUUAAUGAGAACUUUCAU